UACAGAGGGGGCAAGCGUUAUUCGGAAUUAUUGGGCGUAAAGGGCGCGUAGGCGGCUUCGCAAGUGACGGGUGAAAUCCCUCGGCUUAACCGAGGAACUGCCUGUCAAACUGCGUGGCUUGAGACCAGGAGAGGUGAGUGGAAUUCCCAGUGUAGCGGUGAAAUGCGUAGAUAUUGGGAGGAACACCAGUGGCGAAGGCGGCGACCUGGACAGUUACUGACACUCAACUACGAAAGCGUGGGGAGCAAACGGG
This 253-nucleotide ribosomal RNA is filed under the name uncultured bacterium. RNAcentral describes it as "partial 16S ribosomal RNA". It matches the Rfam family "Bacterial small subunit ribosomal RNA", at positions 524 to 776 of the family's 1533-position model. The record is from RNAcentral.